Molecule: long non-coding RNA, 1317 nt
Organism: Felis catus (domestic cat)
Lineage: Eukaryota; Metazoa; Chordata; Mammalia; Carnivora; Felidae
Exons: 3
Source: RefSeq, a predicted model, not a curated record
GCGGGUCCAGGUUCCUGACUCCGCAGCGCGCUGCACCGCGGCGCCGGGGUUGGGGGCCCCAGGCUGAGCUCAGCGCGGGACGAGCCCCGCCCGCGCCCCGCCGACCCCGUGUCCCGGCGCCACCUCUCUCCGGUCCGCUGCUGGAGCGCGCACUUCUCCAGCUCGCAUCCGCCUCUCCCGGGGAAGGGGGCGCAGAAAAGCAGCGCCUGGAAGCCGCGGGUGUCCCGGGCUUUCCGCAGAGCCCCCACACCGUGGUCACCGUGAACCCCCGCCAAACUCUCCGAGAAGCCCCGCGCAGCCCCUCACACCCUGGGCUGCUUGGCGCCCCGGCCUCCCCUCUUUGCCGCACAGCCGGCCCCUACCGGGGACCCCCGGGCACCCCCAGCACGCUCUCCCGUGCAGUACCCCCUCACCGUGCACUCCGCGAGUGCCCCCAGCUCCCUCUCACCAUGGUUGUUCCCGACAGGUGACGUUUGCGGAGGGUCGUUGACUGCGGACGCGUUACGAGUCUCCAGCAACACCACGAAUCCCGGUCUUUACACGGGGAACAGGGCGGACCUAGUUCGAAAAGUGCAUAAACCUCGGACGGUGGCGCAGACUUGAGCUCAGCAACCGCUAGAGAAGGAAAGAUGCUGUGAUGAGAACCAGGCAAUGCCAGCCAAUUGGUCCGAUUUCACAGUCUGCGCACACCAGAAACUUGACGUUGCCCACGUCCUUGGUGAAGCCCACGUUCUCAAAGAUGAACAUGUCAUCAACCAGCCAGUGCUCCUGGAGAAGCUCGCCGUCAGGAUUGCUGCCAUCAGCCAGAGCUGGCUUCUUUCUCAUGGAGGGAAGGAAAAGCUGCAGUGGAAAAGAACACAAAGAAUGCAAGAGCUGACUGGCCAGUCACGUCAUCACCCCCAUUCCACUCACACAUUACACUGCUCCCUAGCACUUUCUCGGAAUGAAAACAGAAUGAGGAGCCCGAUCACUGAUGGAUGAGGAUGCUGGGCGGCUCCUCUGUUGCCUCUAGUCCGUGCCCUGAUUCUUACGAGACGUUAAAGAGGUAACAUGCUGUUUCCAACUGGCUUCACUGCUAUCCUUACCAUGGUCCAUAAGGCCCUGCCUGUUCCUAAUCUCCCUCCAGCCACACUGGCCUUGCCUUCUUCAAACAGGGUAAAUGUGCUCUGCCCUCAGAUCCUGGCAAGGCCGGUUCCUUCAUGAUAUUCAGCUCAAAUGUAACCUCUUCGGGAGGUCUUCUCUAACCAAACAAUCUGAAUUAGCUUCCCAUACUGCCCACUAUGUUUUAUUUUAUACUUUUUAAAGUUUACUUAACUA